GACGGGUGAGUAACGCGUGGGAACGUGCCUUCUGGUUCGGAAUAACUCAGGGAAACUUGAGCUAAUACCGGAUACGCCCUUUUGGGGAAAGGUUUACUGCCGGAAGAUCGGCCCGCGUCUGAUUAGCUAGUUGGUGGGGUAACGGCCUACCAAGGCGACGAUCAGUAGCUGGUCUGAGAGGAUGAUCAGCCACACUGGGACUGAGACACGGCCCAGACUCCUACGGGAGGCAGCAGUGGGGAAUAUUGGACAAUGGGCGCAAGCCUGAUCCAGCCAUGCCGCGUGAGUGAUGAAGGCCUUAGGGUUGUAAAGCUCUUUUAUCCGGGACGAUAAUGACGGUACCGGAGGAAUAAGCCCCGGCUAACUUCGUGCCAGCAGCCGCGGUAAU
This 388-nucleotide ribosomal RNA is filed under the name uncultured bacterium. RNAcentral's name for it is "bacterial SSU rRNA". It matches the Rfam family "Bacterial small subunit ribosomal RNA", at positions 100 to 524 of the family's 1533-position model. The record is from RNAcentral.